AUGUACCACGCGUACAUGCCGGUUCCGAGCACCGUCUGCAGCCACCUGACGGCUGCGUUUUGCUAGCC
RNAcentral lists this small RNA (68 nucleotides) under Xanthomonas arboricola. RNAcentral describes it as "sRNA sX9". It matches the Rfam family "Xanthomonas sRNA sX9". Lineage: Bacteria; Pseudomonadati; Pseudomonadota; Gammaproteobacteria; Lysobacterales; Lysobacteraceae. The record is from RNAcentral.